RNAcentral lists this ribosomal RNA (263 nucleotides) under uncultured bacterium. RNAcentral's name for it is "partial 16S ribosomal RNA". It matches the Rfam family "Bacterial small subunit ribosomal RNA", at positions 524 to 778 of the family's 1533-position model. The record is from RNAcentral.
UACAGAGGGUGCGAGCGUUGUUCGGAAUUACUGGGCGUAAAGCGCGCGCAGGCGGCCCUUUAAGUCUACCCGUGAAAUGCCGGAGCUCAACUCCGCGCACGCCGGGGGGAUACUGGGGGGGCUGGAGACAUGUAGAGGCAAGCGGAAUUCCGGGUGUAGCGGUGGAAUGCGUAGAUAUCCGGAAGAACACCUGAGGCGAAGGCGGCUUGCUGGGGCAUGAUCUGACGCUGAGGCGGCGAAAAGCGUGGGGGAGCAAAACGGGG